This 468-nucleotide ribosomal RNA is filed under the name uncultured bacterium. Its description in RNAcentral is "partial 16S ribosomal RNA". It matches the Rfam family "Bacterial small subunit ribosomal RNA", at positions 28 to 507 of the family's 1533-position model. The record is from RNAcentral.
GACGAACGCUGGCGGCGUGCUUAACACAUGCAAGUCGAACGGAAAGGCCCUGCUUUUGUGGGGUGCUCGAGUGGCGAACGGGUGAGUAACACGUGAGUAACCUGCCCUUGACUUUGGGAUAACUUCAGGAAACUGGGGCUAAUACCGGAUAGGAGCUCCUGCUGCAUGGUGGGGGUUGGAAAGUUUCGGCGGUUGGGGAUGGACUCGCGGCUUAUCAGCUUUUUGGUGGGGUAGUGGCUUACCAAGGCUUUGACGGGUAGCCGGCCUGAGAGGGUGACCGGCCACAUUGGGACUGAGAUACGGCCCAGACUCCUACGGGAGGCAGAAGUGGGGAAUAUUGCACAAUGGGCGGAAGCCUGAUGCAGCAACGCCGCGUGCGGGAUGACGGCCUUCGGGUUGUAAACCGCUUUCGCCUGUGACGAAGCGUGAGUGACGGUAAUGGGUAAAGAAGCACCGGCUAACUACGUG